Molecule: ribosomal RNA, 308 nt
Filed under: uncultured Acidithiobacillus sp.
Lineage: Bacteria; Pseudomonadati; Pseudomonadota; Acidithiobacillia; Acidithiobacillales; Acidithiobacillaceae
Description: bacterial SSU rRNA
Rfam family: Bacterial small subunit ribosomal RNA
Source: RNAcentral
UGCCGCGUGGAUGAAGAAGGCCUUCGGGUUGUAAAGUCCUUUCGUGGGGGACGAAAAGGUGGGUCCUAAUACAAUCUGCUGUUGACGUGAACCCAAGAAGAAGCACCGGCUAACUCCGUGCCAGCAGCCGCGGUAAUACGGGGGGUGCAAGCGUUAAUCGGAAUCACUGGGCGUAAAGGGUGCGUAGGCGGUACGUUAGGUCUGUCGUGAAAUCCCCGGGCUCAACCUGGGAAUGGCGGUAGAAACCGGCGCACUAUAGUAUGGGAGAGGGUGGUGGAAUUCCACGUGUAGCAGUGAAAUGCCUAGAG